This 459-nucleotide ribosomal RNA is filed under the name uncultured bacterium. RNAcentral describes it as "partial 16S ribosomal RNA". It matches the Rfam family "Bacterial small subunit ribosomal RNA", at positions 338 to 795 of the family's 1533-position model. The record is from RNAcentral.
CCUACGGGCGGCAGCAGUGAGGAAUAUUGGUCAAUGGGCGGAAGCCUGAACCAGCCAAGCAGCGUGCGGGAAGAAGGCUCUAUGGGUCGUAAACCGCUUUUGCACGGGGAUAACAGCCUCUACUUGUGGAGGUCUGCAGGUACCGUACGAAUAAGGGCCGGCUAAUUCCGUGCCAGCAGCCGCGGUAAUACGGAAGGCACGAGCGUUAUCCGGAUUCAUUGGGCUUAAAGGGAGCGUAGGCGGGCGUUUAAGUCAGUGGUAAAAUCGCGCGACUCAACCGCGCCACGCAGUUGAAACUGGAAGCCUUGAGUUCACAACAGGCAGGCGGAAUUCGUGGUGUAGCGGUGAAAUGCAUAGAUAUCACGAGGAACCCCGAUUGCGAAGGCAGCCUGCCGGGCUGCGACUGACGCUGAGGCUCGAAGGUGCGGGUAUCAAACAGGAUUAGAUACCCGUGUAGUC